ACCUCCUUCCAGGCUCUUCACC
Molecule: unclassified non-coding RNA, 22 nt
Filed under: Mus musculus (house mouse)
Lineage: Eukaryota; Metazoa; Chordata; Mammalia; Rodentia; Muridae
Description: oocyte_clustered_small_RNA11447
Source: RNAcentral